RNAcentral lists this non-coding RNA (181 nucleotides) under uncultured Ruminococcus sp. Its description in RNAcentral is "6S / SsrS RNA". It matches the Rfam family "6S / SsrS RNA". From Rfam's summary of the family: E. coli 6S RNA was the first non coding RNA to be sequenced, but its function was unknown until recently. It consists of 184 nucleotides that fold into an extended hairpin structure with a large single-stranded internal bulge. The 6S RNA specifically associates with RNA polymerase holoenzyme containing the sigma70 specificity factor. Lineage: Bacteria; Bacillati; Bacillota; Clostridia; Eubacteriales; Oscillospiraceae. The record is from RNAcentral.
UAAUCUGCCUUGUUCGGUGAAAUAUAGUUCAUUUGAUCCAACACAUUUUUUAAGGGAAUCCGUCUCCGUGUGCGGACUGCAGACCUCCCGCCCUGCGGAAGAAGGGAGCGAGAAACACUCGGGCGCUUACCCACCUGCUGAGUGCGGGUUUCAUUCACUAUAUGACGGCAAGGCGGAUAUU